This is a long non-coding RNA of Tympanuchus pallidicinctus (lesser prairie-chicken), 282 nucleotides long. RefSeq lists it as uncharacterized. NCBI's taxonomy places the organism in Eukaryota, Metazoa, Chordata, Aves, Galliformes, Phasianidae. The record is from RefSeq and is a predicted model, not a curated record. The transcript has 4 exons.
AGUGACCCAUAGCGACCCAUAGCGACCCAUAGAGACCCAUAGGGACACAUAGUGACCCAUAGCGACCCAUAGAGACCCAUAGGGACCCAUAGGGACACAUAAUACCCCAUAGGGACCCAUAGCGACCCAUAGCGACCCAUAGAGACCCAUAGGGACCCAUAGGGACCCAUAGAGACCCAUAGGGACCCCACAGAGCAGUUCCUGCACGAGGUCUGGAGGUGGAAGGAGGAGUGAGUGACCCAUAGAUACCCCAUAAGUACCCCAUAGGGACCCCAUAGUGUU